Molecule: ribosomal RNA, 301 nt
Filed under: uncultured bacterium
Lineage: Bacteria
Description: partial 16S ribosomal RNA
Rfam family: Bacterial small subunit ribosomal RNA
Source: RNAcentral
CAGCAGCCGCGGUAAUACGUAGGUGGCAAGCGUUGUCCGGAAUUAUUGGGCGUAAAGGGCUCGCAGGCGGUUUCUUAAGUCUGAUGUGAAAGCCCCCGGCUCAACCGGGGAGGGUCAUUGGAAACUGGGAAACUUGAGUGCAGAAGAGGAGAGUGGAAUUCCACGUGUAGCGGUGAAAUGCGUAGAGAUGUGGAGGAACACCAGUGGCGAAGGCGACUCUCUGGUCUGUAAUCGACGCUGAGGAGCGAAAGCGUGGGGAGCGAACAGGAUUAGAUACCCGCGUAGUCCCUGUCUCUUAUAC